AAGAGAUUACUUGCAAGCUCUGCGGCCAGACUUGGGGUGUAGGAAGUGUUUGUUUUUGUUUCUGUCACCAGGCAGCAGGGAACUCGUCGCCUUUGUUCUGGAGGUCAUGCUGCUAGAGAUGGCAAAUAUUGACAUACAUGGAGCCUUACAGGCUGCCAGGAAGUACAAAGGGAUUUCUCUCUCUCUGCACCAGAAAAUGAGAUGGUAACCAGUAAGGUCAGUAUCAGUGCCUCAAUUGCAAUCAGCUGUUUUAUCUGCUCCACAAUCAAGAGCUAUCUGCAUUAACAAAGAACC
Molecule: long non-coding RNA, 294 nt
Filed under: Numida meleagris (helmeted guineafowl)
Lineage: Eukaryota; Metazoa; Chordata; Aves; Galliformes; Numididae
Description: lncRNA (ENSNMEG00000019090.1)
Source: RNAcentral